GAUGAACGCUGGCGGCGUGCCUAAUACAUGCAAGUCGAGCGAACAGAUGAGGAGCUUGCUCCUCUGACGUUAGCGGCGGACGGGUGAGUAACACGUGGAUAACCUACCUAUAAGACUGGGAUAACUUCGGGAAACCGGAGCUAAUACCGGAUAAUCUAUUGAACCGCAUGGUUCAAUAGUGAAAGACGGUUUUGCUGUCACUUAUAGAUGGAUCCGCGCCGCAUUAGCUAGUUGGUAAGGUAACGGCUUACCAAGGCAACGAUGCGUAGCCGACCUGAGAGGGUGAUAGGCCACACUGGAACUGAGACACGGUCAAGACGCCUACGGGAGGCAGCAGUAGGGAAUCUUCCGCAAUGGGCGAAAGCCUGACGGAGCAACGCCGCGUGAGUGAUGAAGGUCUUCGGAUCGUAAAACUCUGUUAUUAGGGAAGAACAAAUGUGUAAGUAACUAUGCACGUCUUGACGGUACCUAAUCAGAAAGCCACGGCUAACUACGUG
Molecule: ribosomal RNA, 497 nt
Filed under: uncultured bacterium
Lineage: Bacteria
Description: partial 16S ribosomal RNA
Rfam family: Bacterial small subunit ribosomal RNA
Source: RNAcentral